Molecule: ribosomal RNA, 408 nt
Filed under: Escherichia coli
Lineage: Bacteria; Pseudomonadati; Pseudomonadota; Gammaproteobacteria; Enterobacterales; Enterobacteriaceae
Also listed under: 5 other names
Description: bacterial SSU rRNA
Rfam family: Bacterial small subunit ribosomal RNA
Source: RNAcentral
GUUGCCAGCGGUCCGGCCGGGAACUCAAAGGAGACUGCCAGUGAUAAACUGGAGGAAGGUGGGGAUGACGUCAAGUCAUCAUGGCCCUUACGACCAGGGCUACACACGUGCUACAAUGGCGCAUACAAAGAGAAGCGACCUCGCGAGAGCAAGCGGACCUCAUAAAGUGCGUCGUAGUCCGGAUUGGAGUCUGCAACUCGACUCCAUGAAGUCGGAAUCGCUAGUAAUCGUGGAUCAGAAUGCCACGGUGAAUACGUUCCCGGGCCUUGUACACACCGCCCGUCACACCAUGGGAGUGGGUUGCAAAAGAAGUAGGUAGCUUAACCUUCGGGAGGGCGCUUACCACUUUGUGAUUCAUGACUGGGGUGAAGUCGUAACAAGGUAACCGUAGGGGAACCUGCGGUUGGA